UGCGGAGGAUCAUUACCGAGUGAGGGCCCUCUGGGUCCAACCUCCCACCCGUGUUUAUUUUACCUUGUUGCUUCGGCGGGCCCGCCUUAACUGGCCGCCGGGGGGCUCACGCCCCCGGGCCCGCGCCCGCCGAAGACACCCUCGAACUCUGUCUGAAGAUUGUAGUCUGAGUGAAAAUAUAAAUUAUUUAAAACUUUCAACAACGGAUCUCUUGGUUCCGGCAUCGAUGAAGAACGCAGCGAAAUGCGAUACGUAAUGUGAAUUGCAAAUUCAGUGAAUCAUCGAGUCUUUGAACGCACAUUGCGCCCCCUGGUAUUCCGGGGGGCAUGCCUGUCCGAGCGUCAUUACUGCCCUCAAGCCCGGCUUGUGUGUUGGGCCCCGUCCUCCGAUCCCGGGGGACGGGCCCGAAAGGCAGCGGCGGCACCGCGUCCGGUCCUCGAGCGUAUGGGGCUUUGUCACCCGCUCUGUAGGCCCGGCCGGCGCUUGCCGAUCAACCCCAAUUUUUUAUAGGUUGACCUCGGAUCAGGUAGGGAUACCCGCUGAACUUAAGCAUAUCAAUAAGCGGAGGAA
RNAcentral lists this ribosomal RNA (570 nucleotides) under Penicillium sp. FBr09. RNAcentral describes it as "eukaryotic LSU rRNA". The stretch from base 192 to 344 matches the Rfam family "5.8S ribosomal RNA". The record is from RNAcentral. Lineage: Eukaryota; Fungi; Ascomycota; Eurotiomycetes; Eurotiales; Aspergillaceae.